Long non-coding RNA from Dioscorea cayenensis subsp. rotundata (Guinea yam), 207 nucleotides. RefSeq lists it as uncharacterized. The record is from RefSeq and is a predicted model, not a curated record. The transcript has 2 exons. NCBI's taxonomy places the organism in Eukaryota, Viridiplantae, Streptophyta, Magnoliopsida, Dioscoreales, Dioscoreaceae.
CCAAAACUAAAACCUCAACUGAAAAACCCUAGUUCCCAAAUCCCAUUCCCUUCUUUGCUUUGCCGGCUCUCUCUACUUCCUCACGCUUGGCUUCAGCUCACAAUAUCUAAUCCUUCCCAAAUUGAAGCAUUUGUUCACAUUUAAUUGGUGGUCGUCAUGAGUUCUGCAAGUCCUGAUGUGGAAGUAGCAUCUGUUCGUAGGAAAAAA